Molecule: small nuclear RNA, 93 nt
Filed under: Myotis davidii
Lineage: Eukaryota; Metazoa; Chordata; Mammalia; Chiroptera; Vespertilionidae
Source: RNAcentral
CAGCACAUAUACUAAAAUUAGAAUGAUACCGAGAAGACUAGCAUGGCCCCUGUGCAAGGAUGGCAUGCAGUUUGUGAAGUGUUCCAUAUUUUA